RNAcentral lists this long non-coding RNA (498 nucleotides) under Salmo salar (Atlantic salmon). RNAcentral describes it as "lncRNA (ENSSSAG00000117920.1)". The record is from RNAcentral. Lineage: Eukaryota; Metazoa; Chordata; Actinopteri; Salmoniformes; Salmonidae.
GCAGCAGACUAGGACUGGCCUGACUGCACCACUGGGACUGAGAGCAUACAAACAGGAACAGUUGAGGACAAAACUACAAUUACAACAAACCCUACACUGAACAGUAGGCUACAACAUAGAUAGUGUUGUGUCGUAAAUAAGCAGCUGGACGCCACUCUGACCUGAUGGGUGUGUUGCCGCCGUGUCGUCUCUCCAUAACCGACUGGCCGGUGCUCUGCAGGGAUCCCUCCCUGAAAAGAUCUCCCCCUUCCCUGGGAAAUUGAAUUAGUAGGAUGCUUCUGGAUGACUUAAUGGAUGUUCCUAUUUGUUACAGGCUUUGGUUUUUCCAUUUGUUGGUUUGAGUGAUGGGAAGGCCAAUGCAAUGAUACUGUAUGUUGCGUGGUUCUAGGUUAGAUAUUGUCCACCCUACCUCCUAACAGGCACACUGCAGGACAAAGUGGGAAACAUACUGUACAUUCAAAAUUCAACAUAUCACCUACCUCAGUCCAAAAUCUUUUG